GUGAGGGAUAUUGGUCAAUGGGCGAGAGCCUGAACCAGCCAAGUCGCGUGAAGGAAGAAGGAUCUAUGGUUCGUAAACUUCUUUUGCAGGGGAAUAAAGUGCAGGACGUGUCCUGUUUUGUAUGUACCCUGAGAAUAAGGAUCGGCUAACUCCGUGCCAGCAGCCGCGGUAAUACGGAGGAUCCGAGCGUUAUCCGGAUUUAUUGGGUUUAAAGGGUGCGUAGGUGGUUUGAUAAGUCAGCGGUGAAAGUUUGCAGCUUAACUGUAAAAAUGCCGUUGAAACUGUCGGACUUGAGUGUAAAUGAGGUAGGCGGAAUGCGUGGUGUAGCGGUGAAAUGCAUAGAUAUCACGCAGAACUCCGAUUGCGAAGGCAGCUUACUAAGCUACAACUGACACUGAAGCACGAAAGCGUGGGGAUCAAACAGGAUUAGAUACCCGAGUAGUCC
Molecule: ribosomal RNA, 445 nt
Filed under: uncultured bacterium
Lineage: Bacteria
Description: partial 16S ribosomal RNA
Rfam family: Bacterial small subunit ribosomal RNA
Source: RNAcentral